RNAcentral lists this ribosomal RNA (836 nucleotides) under uncultured archaeon. RNAcentral describes it as "bacterial SSU rRNA". It matches the Rfam family "Archaeal small subunit ribosomal RNA", at positions 53 to 894 of the family's 1478-position model. The record is from RNAcentral.
GCGAGUCGAAUGUAGCAAUACAUGGCGUACUGCUCAGUAACACGUGGACAACCUACCCUCCGGACGGGUAUAAACCCGGGAAACUGGGUAUAAUCCCCGAUAGAUCUCAGUCGCUGGAAAGCCCCGAGAUCGAAAGCUCCGGCGCCAGAGGAUGGGUCUGCGGCCUAUCAGGUAGUAGUGGGUGUAGCGUACCUACUAGCCUACGACGGGUACGGGUUGUGAGAGCAAGAGCCCGGAGAUGGAUUCUGAGACACGAAUCCAGGCCCUACGGGGUGCAGCAGGCGCGAAAACUUUACAAUGCCGGCAACGGCGAUAAGGGGACCUCGAGUGCCAGGUUACAAAUCUGGCUGUCGUGAUGCCUAAAAAGCAUUGCAUAGCAAGGGCCGGGCAAGACCGGUGCCAGCCGCCGCGGUAACACCGGCGGCUCGAGUGGUAACCGUUAUUAUUGGGUCUAAAGGGUCUGUAGCCGGCCAGAUAAGUCUCUUGAGAAAUCCAGCAGCUCAACUGUUGGGCUUUCAGGAGAUACUGUCUGGCUCGAGGCCGGGAGAGGUGAGAGGUACUUCAGGGGUAGGGGUGAAAUCUUGUAAUCCUUGAAGGACCACCAGUGGCGAAGGCGUCUCACCAGAACGGACCUGACGGCAAGGGACGAAAGCUAGGGGCACGAACCGGAUUAGAUACCCGGGUAGUCCUAGCCGUAAACGAUACUCGCUAGGUGUCGGCCACGGUGCGACCGUUGUCGGUGCCGUAGGGAAGCCGUGAAGCGAGCCACCUGGGAAGUACGGCCGCAAGGCUGAAACUUAAAGGAAUUGGCGGGGGAGCACCACAACGGGUGGAGC